RNAcentral lists this ribosomal RNA (254 nucleotides) under uncultured bacterium. Its description in RNAcentral is "partial 16S ribosomal RNA". It matches the Rfam family "Bacterial small subunit ribosomal RNA", at positions 524 to 776 of the family's 1533-position model. The record is from RNAcentral.
UAUGUAGGGUGCAAGCGUUGUCCGGAAUUAUUGGGCGUAAAGAGCUCGUAGGCGGUUUGUUGCGUCGGCUGUGAAAUCCCGAGGCUCAACCUCGGGUCUGCAGUCGAUACGAGCAAACUAGAGUGUUGCAGGGGAGACUGGAAUUCCUGGUGUAGCGGUGAAAUGCGUAGAUAUCGGGAGGAACACCAGUGGCGAAGGCGACUACCUGGCCUGUUUCUUGACGCUGAGGCGCGAAAGCUAGGGGAGCAAACGGG